UACGUAGGGUGCAAGCGUUAAUCGGAAUUACUGGGCGUAAAGCGUGCGCAGGCGGUUUUGUAAGUCUGUCGUGAAAUCCCCGGGCUCAACCUGGGAAUUGCGAUGGAGACUGCAAGGCUAGAAUCUGGCAGAGGGGGGUAGAAUUCCACGUGUAGCAGUGAAAUGCGUAGAGAUGUGGAGGAACACCGAUGGCGAAGGCAGCCCCCUGGGUCAAGAUUGACGCUCAUGCAACGAAAGCGUGGGGAGCAAACAGG
This 254-nucleotide ribosomal RNA is filed under the name uncultured bacterium. RNAcentral's name for it is "partial 16S ribosomal RNA". It matches the Rfam family "Bacterial small subunit ribosomal RNA", at positions 524 to 776 of the family's 1533-position model. The record is from RNAcentral.